GUGCCAGCCGCCGCGGUAAUACAGAGGGUGCGAGCGUUAAUCGGAAUUACUGGGCGUAAAGCGCGCGUAGGCGGCUUGGUAUGUCGGGUGUGAAAUCCCCGGGCUCAACCUGGGAACUGCAUCCGAAACUGCCUUGCUAGAGUAUGGGAGAGGGAAGUGGAAUUUCCGGUGUAGCAGUGAAAUGCGUAGAUAUCGGAAGGAACACCAGUGGCGAAGGCGACUUCCUGGACCAAUACUGACGCUCAAGUGCGAAAGCGUGGGGAGCAAACAGGAUUAGAAACCCCAGUAGUCC
RNAcentral lists this ribosomal RNA (292 nucleotides) under uncultured bacterium. RNAcentral describes it as "partial 16S ribosomal RNA". It matches the Rfam family "Bacterial small subunit ribosomal RNA", at positions 505 to 796 of the family's 1533-position model. The record is from RNAcentral.